This 893-nucleotide ribosomal RNA is filed under the name Sistotremastrum sp. Its description in RNAcentral is "partial large subunit ribosomal RNA". It matches the Rfam family "Eukaryotic large subunit ribosomal RNA", at positions 36 to 938 of the family's 3401-position model. The record is from RNAcentral. Lineage: Eukaryota; Fungi; Basidiomycota; Agaricomycetes; Sistotremastrales; Sistotremastraceae.
AAGCAUAUCAAUAAGCGGAGGAAAAGAAACUAACAAGGAUUCCCCUAGUAACGGCGAGUGAAGCGGGAAAAGCUCAAAUUUGAAAUCUGACGGUCUUUGGUCGUCCGAGUUGUAGUCUGGAGAAGUGCUUUCUGUGCUGGACCGUGUACAAGUCUCUUGGAACAGAGCGUCAUAGAGGGUGAGAAUCCCGUCUUUGACACGGACUACCAGUGCUAUAUGAUGCGCUCUCAAAGAGUCGAGUUGUUUGGGAAUGCAGCUCAAAAUGGGUGGUAAAUUCCAUCUAAAGCUAAAUACAGGCGAGAGACCGAUAGCGAACAAGUACCGUGAGGGAAAGAUGAAAAGCACUUUGGAAAGAGAGUAAAACAGUACGUGAAAUUGUUGAAAGGGAAACGCUUGAAGUCAGUCGUGUCUACUGGGACUCAGCCUGGCUUUUGCCUGGUGCACUUCCCUGUUGACAGGCCAACAUCAAUUUUGAUCGGCAGACAAAGGCUGAGGAAAUGUGGCAGCUCCGGCUGUGUUUAUAGUCCUUGGUUGUACAUGUCGAUUGGGAUUGAGGAAUCCGGACACGCAAGUGUUGUGGGAUGUUGGCGUAAUGGCUUUAAACGACCCGUCUUGAAACACGGACCAAGGAGUGUAACAUGCUCGCGAGUGUUUGGGUGGUAAACCCGAGCGCGUAAUGAAAGUGAAAGUUGAGAUCUUCUUCUGAAGAGCAUCGACGCCCGAGCCUGAUGUUUUCGGACGGCCUCGCGGUAGAGCGAGUAUGUUGCGACCCGAAAGAUGGUGAACUAUUCCUGAGGAGGGCGAAGCCAGAGGAAACUCUGGUGGAGGCUCGUAGCGUUUCUGACGUGCAAAUCGAUCGCAGGACUUGGGUAUAGGGGCGAAAGACUAAUCGA